RNAcentral lists this ribosomal RNA (818 nucleotides) under uncultured bacterium. RNAcentral's name for it is "bacterial SSU rRNA". It matches the Rfam family "Bacterial small subunit ribosomal RNA", at positions 8 to 796 of the family's 1533-position model. The record is from RNAcentral.
AGAGUUUGAUCAUGGCUCAGGACGAACGCUGGCGGCGUGCCUAAUACAUGCAAGUCGAGCGCGUGAAACUUCUAGAUCCCUUCGGGGUGACAGUUGUGGAUCGAGCGGCGGACGGGUGAGUAACACGUGGGCAACCUGCCUGUAAGACUGGGAUAACUUCGGGAAACCGGAGCUAAUACCGGAUAAUCAUUGACACCGCAUGGUGUGAAUGUAAAAGAUGGUUCUGCCAUCCCUUACAGAUGGGCCCGCGGCGCAUUAGCUAGUUGGUGGGGUAAAGGCCUACCAAGGCAACGAUGCGUAGCCGACCUGAGAGGGUGAUCGGCCACACUGGGACUGAGACACGGCCCAGACUCCUACGGGAGGCAGCAGUAGGGAAUCUUCGGCAAUGGACGAAAGUCUGACCGAGCAACGCCGCGUGAGUGAUGAAGGUCUUCGGAUCGUAAAGCUCUGUUGUCAGAGAAGAACACGUGACAGAGGAAAUGCUGUCAUCUUGACGGUAUCUGACCAGAAAGCCCCGGCUAACUACGUGCCAGCAGCCGCGGUAAUACGUAGGGGGCAAGCGUUGUCCGGAAUUAUUGGGCGUAAAGCGCGCGCAGGCGGCUUCUUAAGUCUGAUGUGAAAGCCCACGGCUCAACCGUGGAGGGUCAUUGGAAACUGGGGAGCUUGAGUGCAGAAGAGGAGAGUGGAAUUCCACGUGUAGCGGUGAAAUGCGUAGAGAUGUGGAGGAACACCAGUGGCGAAAGCGGCUCUCUGGUCUGUAACUGACGCUGAGGCGCGAAAGCGUGGGGAGCAAACAGGAUUAGAUACCCCCGUAGUCC